GUCCUUUCUGGAAGUCACCUCUUGCAAGAAGUCUGCAACUCCUUUUCUUUUCGGGCAUUUGAAGCCCACGCUCUCAAAGAACCCAAGGAUGUUUUCACGGGGACCUUGGUACACAAUCUGACCCUCACAUAGUAAGAUAAUGGCAUCAAAAAGAUCAUAAGUUUCAGGUGCAGGUUGGAGAAGAGAGAUUAUCAUGGUUACUUCCAUGAUAUGAACCAUCUGCCUCAUAAACUUGACAAUCUGAAAAGUGGUGGAACUGUCCAGACCAGUUGAUAUUUCAUCCAUGAAAAGAGCCUUUGCUGGUCCAACCAACAUUUCUCCUGCAUUCAGUUUCAUCAGUCAUAUUAGGCUUUUGUGGAAUAUUAAAAAUCUUAAGAACAAGGAUUCCUCAGAAAUCAGACAAUUCAUAAUUGAUCAGUAGCUCAAUUCAAAUUGAAGGCAAAUGCUUUACCACUAAGUUGAAAGAAACAAUUGAUAUAGGACAUAAUCAAUGGAAAUGGGGCACAUACCGGUAGUAACACGCUUCUUUUCUCCACCAGAAAUGCCCCUUCUCAUAUCAUCUCCCAACACAAUGUCAGCGCAGAUGUCUAAUCCCAGCAUCUGUUACACACACAAUGUCAAAGAGCGUAAAGCUUGGGAAUGUAACUAAUAGGCCAGGCACCAAAUGGAAAUGGAGAUGCAAACCUUGAGCACAUAAUCUGUAACCAAACUAGUUUCUUGGCCUGCCAUUGCUGUUGCUUUCAUGAAUGCAUCUAUCUCAGGAUCUGGCUUAAUUCCAGCUUCUUUUUCUCGUCUUGACAAUUCUGCUAGUAGUUCAUAUCUGGUUCCAACUCCCAAACAUCGUCCUGAGAAGUCCAACGUUUCCCUAACUGUCAUCUCACCAUGGUGCAGAUCAUGCUGGCUAAUGUAAGCACAUGUUCUCUGAGGAACAAACUCUGAUAAUUCAUGACCACAGUAUGUGAUUUUUCCUUCCAUCUGUCCAUAAACACCGCACACAUCAGAGCAAUGAGUUCAGGAAUCAGGGACUAUCACCAUCACUAAAUAAUUCAUAUUGGGAAGGAAAUAACAAUGACACAGUGAAGGAUCGAAUUGGAUAAAAAUAUUUGUCAGAGUAACUUGGGGGGGCCAACAUACCCUUAGAUCUUUGUCCAUCUUCCCAGCAAGCGCCUGCAGCAGGGUAGUUUUCCCUGAGGCUGGAGGUCCCAGAAGCAGAGUCAUUCUGCAAAACACAAAAGCUAAUCAAGAAACCAGCAAAGAAAGGAAGUGUACUUAAUGGGAAAAUAUUUUGUUAUCCUAUUAAAUUUUCCCAGAAUUUGUAUCAAUCAAAUUAUAUAAAGACAUCAUUCAGGAGAUUUGUGUUGAGGGCAACAUGAUUGAUUGAAAGGUACUUCCAAAAAUGGAAUACAUUUACCUUGAUGGUUUCACGAUCCCACUCACAUCUUUUAGUAUCUUGACUACCCUUUUCUUAGAUGGUGAAAGCCUAAUCAGCCCAAGUAUUCCCUGUUCACGACAACAAAUAAACACAAUCAUAAUUCAUUCAUCUCUACAAAUUCCAACAGUCUACUGAAUUGAAGCAAACUUCUCCCAAAAACAUUAUCAGGAGAUUGAAGUCAUUCAUCACAAUUUGCUGAAAGGGAAAAUCAAGAAUCACCAUCGAAAACAGAAGAAGAAAAACAAAGGGACAAACAGAACAAACUACCUCUAUGAAGUUCAUGGUAAAAUUGAGCAGAGUAGGAAGUGCCCUGGUUCCAACAUAUGCGUCUCCUUCUAUUGAUAAAUGCUCAAACCGGACUUCGAUUUUUGGAAUCUCAACCCCAACCCUGUUGAGCAAACAGAUGUUACGUUCUAUAAAACUUUUCUGGUAACAAAUUCAACUGGGGCAAAGCAAGCAAAAAAACACAUGACCAACAGAGUGAACUUCAUGGGAAGAAAGAGAGAAGAGUGACCUAUCAGUCCUUUCCCUGAGCCUGAGAAGGAACUUCUCAUUAUCUUCUUCAACAACCUUAAGUAUACUCUCUAUGUGAUGCUUCCUCUCCUGCAUACCAAGAUUGGUGAAGUCAACUUCUUCAUGGACAACCUUCCCAUCAUCCAAAACUUGCUUAAGCAUCCCCUUCCUCAACCGCUCAAAGGUUGGAAGCCUUUCAAUGGCCGCCCACUUCAACUCUUCCUCAUCAUCCUCUUUCCUACUCUGAAAAGCAUCACCUUGUGCUGACAACGCCUCACGAAUACUCGCAGAAGCCCAACUUCGCCUAAUUCCAGUAUGCUAAACUUUUACGCCUGCUGCUCACGGACCUUGCUAGAUCAUCCCCAGCCAAUGCUGCAGCCAUUGUCACCCACCAAAACCCCUCAGAGUAAAGACUCCAAACCCCCCUUUAUAAUAACCCUAGAAAGCUCAGAUUCAACCGAUGAGCUCAAGAUGCUAGAGAAGGUGUGGAUGAAAUGGUGAGUAGAUGAGAUUGAUGGGCAUGGAGUGAUGUAGGAGGUGAUGGAGACUGGGAAGCGGUAGAGAAGUGGGCAUUACUGAGUGGGAGAGGAGAGUCUUUUAUGAAGUACAUGAAAAAUACUAUAUUUGAUCACUUGUGAGCUCAGGAGAGUUGAGAGUUGAGAGUUGCUAGUGAGAGUUUCAUGUAAAUGAUUGCAAAUCCUCUUGGUCUUAAUUAUGGCUGGCACUUGGCAGAUAAUUGAGAGAGGGUAACUGUGUUUCGGCGUUGCGGUGUUGGCUUAACAACCACAAUAAAAAUAAAUUAAAAUUAAUUAAAAUUUCAUCCACUAAGUAAAGGAUAGACAUAUGUUGUUAAAUACUACUUUAUCCUUCACUUAAAAAUGUAUAAAAAUAACAAAUAUUUUGAAAUCACAUCAUACCAUUUCAAAAAGAAAAAUUUGCCUUACAUGUAAAAUUUUUAGCAAAAAUAAAAACCAAAAUAGAAAAUUUGCCCCCUCUUAAACAAAAAUAUAAAUUUAAUUUAAAAAAAUUUAAAAAUAGAAAAUAAUGAUAACUAAAUAUUUUUACCAAAAAAACUAAUAUUUAUCAUUAAUUACUAAUAAUAUAUUCAGAUUGAACUAUAAUUUUUUUAAAAAAAUAUUCAUUAUAAAAUAUGUGAAUUUAUCGGAUUAAGAGAACUUGUAAAUAAUCAUAUAUGUUGAUGUAUAUUUAUUUAUAACUCCUUAUAAAAUAGAGAUACCUUUAAUGAAAAUUCACUUUGUUCUCUUCCAAUGUUCUAUUAUACUUUUCUUGAAGGAUUUAUGUUUAUUCUCUCUUCUAUUUUUUUUUUAGUCGUUUAUUUUAUAACACGUUAUCAACAUGAUGCUCUGAGUAUGUAGAAGAAAAAAAGAAGAAUGAUUGAGAUAGAAAAAAUAGAAGAUUUCAUCUACAAAAUUUCUUACAGGUAUAUAUUCUUAUUUUCUUCGAAUGAAAUAUGAAAAGUAGUAUACAUUGUAUUAUUAUUAUUAUUUACUUUAUCUCAUAGCCAGAAGCUAUGUGAAUCAUAUUUCAUAUAAUUAUAAAUAUUUUAAUUAUUUAAUAACUAGAAGAGAUAUAUAUAUAUAUAUAUAUAUAUAUAUAUAUAUAUAUAUAUAUAUAUAUAUAUAAUCAUAACUAGAAGUUAUGAAAAAAAAAAUAUAUGUGCAAUCCCUAUAAUAAGAAGUUAUGGGGUAAAUUAAAAAAACACAUUCAAAAGUCAUGUAUAUAAUCCCUAAUUAUCUAUUUUAAAUUAUACAAUAUAAUUAAAAGUUAUACCAAACAAUAUUAUAUAAUCAGAAGCUAUAAAAGUAAAUAGUUCAUAGCCUGAAGUUAUGUACAAAGCUACAUAAUGAAAUUCAUAGCCUGAAGUUAUUCACAAAUUUAUAUAAAACUAGUUCAUAUGGUUGUUUAAUUUGAUAUAUUUUUAUAAUUAAUAUUUAAAAUUAUUUAAUUUUUUUAAUAAUAAUAUAAAAUACUAUGAAUUACCUUACAAUUUAUAAAUGAUAACUGUAACAUUUUUCUUCCAUCCCUUCUAACAAAAGUCUCUGGCUCCGCCAUUGGUUCACGAGUCUCGCUAUUUCUAUCUAACUUGCAUCUCAUUAUUUUGUAUUUUAAUUUUAUUAUUUAUACUGGAGUUUCAUAUAUUUCUAUCAUUAUCCAACCACCUAAAUUUUAGUAUAUACUUGGAAUAAAUUAAAGGGAGAAUUAUGUUUUGGACCCAGUUGGGUACAAAAAUUAAUCUUUGGUCCACAUAAGUUGCAUAAUUGAUGGGAAUGAUAUAAAAUUAUUAAGAGACUAAUAUACCCUUUAAAUUUCCAACUCAAAUGCUUUGAAAUUAAUGGGUUUCAUACAUGGUAAACUAAAAAUGGCAUGUCACCUUUCUUAAAAAUCUAACUUUAAAAUCCUGCUUGUUGGGUCUAUUGUCCAGAGAAAAGAAAUGGGUAUGGUUCAUGGAGAGAGAUAGUAAGCUUCGGGGAAAAAGAUUCUCUGAUGAUAAUGCAAUUUCUCCAUAAUAGCUAUCAUACGGAUCAAACAUAUCUUGAAAGUAAAUAAAAUGGUUGUCAUGAUUGUGAGGUUGGUCCACCACACGAAACGGAGAAAAUGAAGAACUCCGAUGAAGAUCUAAAGCAUCUUCAGCUAUGGUCGUCAUGAUGGCAGUGGCCUAGCAACCUCCUGUGAAGAUGAAAAUAUGCUAAAUAGGGUAUAUGCCCUUUUGAAGUAGAAUUGUGGGGUAAGUAUAUUUUCUAUAAUUCAAACCUAAGUUUGUAGAGGAUUGAGUGUGUUUUGAUUAGGUUUAGGGAUGAAUUGUGACAUUCAUAUUUGUGACAUUUAUUCUGCUAUGAUCCAGAGCACAACCCCAUUAAUUGUAUGAUUGAAACUCCUUUAUGUUUGAGUAGAAGAUUAAUAAUAUGAUUACUAGUAGUUGGGGAACAAAUUGAUACUUCAUUUUUUUCCUUAUGUUAUAAACCAAAACAUUACAAAUAUGGUUAACCUAAGUAUGAGCAGACAUUCAGUAGUAGUUGUUUGGAAUUUCUUCCUUUGUACAAGACGUUUACACGAAGUGUAUAAGGUAAAUAUGUUAACUAUACAAGGGUGUACAAAGGUACUAUGGACCCGCAUUUUUCACAUGUACUCCCACUCGAUCGGCAAGACUCGCUUUUAUUUUUUUGUGAAAAAUUUAACUUUGGAAAAGUCGAAGUCGUUACUUAUUUUAUUUUAUUAAAAGGGAAAAUAAAAUAAGAAAGAAAACCCUAAAGAAGUGACUCCAUAGUUUUUGGAAAAAUAUGUCUUUGAAAAACCUGAAUCUAGGUCCGGGGAUUAGGUUACCUAUUGGGAAGGUACCUCUAAAAGGUUUUAAUUACUGACUAAGUUGAGGGGAAUAAGACAAUUAAUUGAUUGAUUGAGGGUACCUAGGUAGACUGAGGUGAUUUAAAAAAAUAGCAUGCUAAACAAGAAAAGUCAAAUCAUGAUCAUAAAAGAGAUUUAGGGUGCAUACCUGGAUUGCUUCUCAAACGCUAUCACAAGACAUCAAAGUUAGUUCGAAUAGUAUAUCAUCCAACAUGCGCUUUAUCAGAAAUAAUAGAACAAUGAAACAUAUAUAUCAAGACAUCCAAGCAAUAUCAAAUAUAGGUGGAGUUCAUAGUGACAAGCAUAUUCACAGAAUUUAGAAGGUGGGUGUUAGGGGGCGUACCUAGAUAGCAUAAGUAACUUAUAAUGCGCUUCCACAAAACAUGAAGGGUUGGAUAAUAAAUAAUAAAAUAAAGAAAUCUUAGCAUGCUUAUCUAAUUAGUAUAGCAAAAAUGAUCAAAGUAUAUGAAAUAAUCAAUUAUUAUAUAAUUCCUAAAAAAUGUAUAAAUAGGAUUACAACAAGUGGAAAAUGUGGCAACAAAGAUGAGUUUUGAAAAACGAAAAGAUUUUAUGUAGGGGUUUCACCAAUUCCCCAAUUAAUAUACACAAAUCUAGCUUAGAAUCAUCCCAUUUAUUUGGGACCACAAGCUUUGAUUUGUAUUUUGUUCAAAACCAAAAUUUUCAUUGAAAAUCGAGAAAGAUGCGAACCGAUCAAAAGAUGGUUGCAUAUUAUUUAAGAAAAUGAGAUUUUGAUUCUAAGGACUCUAAAUGAGUUUUUGAAAUAGAUUUUUAAAGGGAUCUUUUGAGAAAAGUGUUAUAUUUUAAAAUAAGAUAAAUUAAUUUGAAAACAAUAAAACGUAUGAGAAACAGAAUACCAAGCAAAACAAACGGAAACAAAAUUACGAAGUAAAAUUUUUGGCAACCAAGAAAACUGAAAUGGUGUGAAUGGAGGCCAAUCAUCACUAUUUUCUGAUGGCCUCUGAAAAAUAAAAUUGACAAGAGACUACCAAAGUAAUAAACUAUUAAAACUUAGAUCAAAUAAGCUAACAUGAUACUCAUCGAGGAUUAAUGACUAAUUUUCAAGAAACAUGUCAAUUAAGAGUAACAAUCAAGAAUUAGCACGUGAUCAAUUAAACACACAAACGUAUCUAGACUGAUUAAAAAUGGACCAAAUUAAAUUAGGGCAAACAUGAAUUUUCAAUUAUAGAAUUAAUUUUAUUAGUGAGCUAAUAGUAUGGAAAAUACCUAAACUAAAUAGAUGAGUGAAGCUAAAUCAGAGUAAACUAAACACAGACACCUUCUAAUAUGGAAUUGAUUUUAUUAAUAACUUAAAAUUAUAAAAAAAAAACACCUAAAAUAAUUAAAAUGAAUCAAAUGAAAUGAAAGCAAGCUAAAACAAAAUAUGAAUUCAUGGAAUCGGGUUCCUAAAUAAAUUUACAUUAUUAAAAUGAAAUCUAAGCUCAAAAUGAAUUAAACACUAAUUAAAGAAAAUUUAAAAAUCAAAUAUUUAACACAUAAGAUCAAUUAUUUUAACCAAAUAAAACUUUACUUAAACCAAAAAUUAAAUUAUAAAAAUAUCCAAAAGAAAUUUUAAAACUAAAUUUCUAACCUAUAAAAUCAAUCUCAUUAACAAAUGGAUAAGUAGACAACACAUAAAUAAAUAAAUAUGACUAAAACGAAAUAUGAACUCAUGGAAUUAAUUUUUUUAAAUAAACUUACAUUACUAAAAUGAAAUCUAAACUUAAAAAUGUUUUUAACACCAAUUAUGGUAAUCCUAAAAUCUAAUAUUUAACACAUAAUAUUAACUAUUUUAAAGAACAAAAAUUUCACUUAAACCCAAAAUUAAAUUGAAAACUAUCCAAAACAAAUUUUAAAACUAAAUUUCUAACCUAUAAAAUUAAUCUUAUUAAUAAAUAAAUAAAUAGGUAAUGCGUGAAUAAAUAAAUAUAGCUAAAACAAAAUAUGAACUCAUGGAAUUAAUUUUUUUAAAUAAAUUUACAUUACUAAAAUAAAAUCUAAGCUUAACAAACGUUUUUAACACUAAUUAAGACAAGUCUAAAAUCUAAUAUUUAACACACAAAAAUCAAUCAUUUCGAAAAACUAAAAUUUACUUAAACCUAAAGUUGAAUCAAACUACCCAAAGCAAAUUUUUUUGACACUGAAUCUUUAACCCAUAGGAUCAAUCUUAUUAAUAAAUAAAUAAAUAACGAAUCAUUAAAUUAGUAGCAAAUAAAUAAAUAAAUAAUGAAUAAUUAAAUGAAUCAAAACCAAAUUAAACAAAGAUCAAAUUAUAUGUAUUUUUUUUCAAGGUUAAAAUUAUAUAAAAUUGUAUUUUCUAAAUUUAAUAUGAUAAAUCAAAACUAACUUUAAACACAAUUCUAAUCCUUAUGUAAUCAAUCAAAAUUAAAUAAGAGUGAGAUUCAUGCUGCCAUAAUAAGACACGUAUAUACUAAAGCUAAUAAAAUAAGUCAAGCCACUCAACCCAAUAUAGUAAUCCAACUUGAAAUAAACUAAACUUUGAAAACCCAUAUGUAAAAAAAUAUCUUACCUAACCGGCUGUGAUGAUGCCAAAGCAACUUGGUGGUGUGCGGCUGGUGUAGUGAAAAACGAGUAGAUGAUCAACCUAGCUAGUUGUGAUGCUCCCAAGGCAAACUGAUGGUGUGCGGCCGACGCGGUGAAGGACAAGUAGAGGAUCAACCUAGCCGGCUGUGGUGCUUCCAAGCAACCCGAAUGUGAGCGGCAUGAUUAGAGGUGGUGUGCUAGUGCAGGUCUCCAAUGGCGAUGGUACGUCAUUCUUUCAGAGAUAGAGAUGAUGUCGCAUGUGGACUGUGCUAGGCUGCAAGCAUCAAAGAUCACUCGUGACCUAUGUUUCGUCGCCCAAAACUCCUUUGAGACACUCCGACAUCGGUUUUCAUUAUGUCUUUGGCAGUCAUUCGCUAUAAUUUUCGAAUCAGAUUACACGAUGAAUGUAUGGGACCAUCCGCGUUGAGAAGAGAUGAGAAUGGAAUUUCAGUCUACUAUCUAUGGACUGAUCUCAAUGAGAAGUGGGUGGUUGGCGGGACUUCAAUGGUGCGGUUGAGUUGGAACCUUCCUCUCAUCCAAUGGUGCAGCUGCCCAUUUGCUCAUCCCAAUUCAAUAAGGAAGGUAUAUACUCUUCUUUUCCAUCACGGGGUGAAUAGCCGGUGAAUAUCAACAAGCAGUUGAGUAUGUGGGUUCCAAAACAACAGUCUGAAUCUCUUUUGAAACCUGGACCGAUUCUCUCUCAAAUAGCAGCCCCAAAUGCCCUUUUUCAAACAUGGACUGAUUUCUCAACUUGAAAAUGACAGCCUAACUUCCCAAAAUAAUCCUUCUGAAUCACCCUUUAACUCUCUUUCUCCAGAAUGAUGCCACUACCGCCCUUCAAUCGUGCGUCCUUUUUUUUUUUUUUUCCUUUAAUAUUUUCUCAAUCACUUUUUUAGACCCCCCUCCAUCCACGGUGAUGGAAGACACAACAGGAAAGGUCUUUUUUCCCACUUUCGGAUCACCCCCAAUUCCUUCCAAUCAUUCAUUUUUUUUUUCUUUUGUCUUUCAUUUUCUCUCUUCCUCUCACUCCAAUCUCCCAGCUGUCUCCAUCUUUCCUCUUAAUGGUGUCUUUCCUUUUCUUUUUAUAGAGAACGUGGGAUCCAUGCAAACAUAAUAAUAAAAAAUAAAAUAAAAAUAAAAAUAAAAGAAAACUAAGGGUUAGAAUAAUAUAAAAAAAAAACAUGCAACUAAGAAUUAAAAAUCCAAAAUAUGUAAUUUUAAACGAAAUUAAAAAAAUAUAAAUCACAUGCAUAACUUAAAAUGAAUUAUCAACUCAAACAACUCUCUAUCAAAAUAAAUUAAUAAAUAGAUAAAUAAACACGAAAUGAAUAUGAUUAUUAAGCUCAUGCAAUUUUCUAAAAAUAAGUAAAUAAAUGAAUAAAACUAAUAAAUAGAGAGAAAUAAUAAAAAAAAAAAAUCAAGCACAUGCAAGCCAUAUGAGCUAUGCAACCAUGCAAACCAUGCAUUCAUGCAAAAAAAAUGAUCUAGGGUGCCUAAGUGGGUCUAGGGUGCCUAAAUGGGACUAGGGUGCCUAAGUAGGUGUAAGGUGGUGCCUAAUGGGCCAAGUGUGUCUAAAUGAGCCUAGGGUGCCUAAGGGAGCCUAAUGUCAUGAACUUAGUCGUUUCCUAAGCUCGUGCGACACUUAGAUAAGUCAAGACGCUUGAUCUUGCUAAGUCAACCUUACUUCCAACGCUUAGCUUGCUAGGCAAAGAUGCUCACGACUCGGAAGCUUGAGAAGGCGUAAUAGGGGACUCUUAAAGAAUAGAAGCUUUAUUGCUUUCAAAUGAAGCUAUACAAUGCUUAGAAGCUCAUUUGCUUGGUUAAGAAGUGAUUUGGGUAGUUUUUGGGUGGUUUUUGGAUGGUCUUGGGGUGGUACCUUGGCCAAAUGAGGUCCCCUCCUAUUUAUAGGCACCAAUGAAACUCUCUGGAACCUUGGAGGGUUCCUUACAAAUCAAGAAGAUUCUAGAAUACCCUACAUAAUUCUAUGUACAAGAAUAUAUAGGAGAUUCCUAGAAUUCUCUAGAAAGCCUUAAACUCCUCUCAUGCCUUCCACCAUAGUGUAGAGAUGUGUGGACAUCUCUAGGCAUCUCUAGAACCUUCCACACUCUUCCCACUAAUGGCUAAGUGUAUAUGGCUCUAGGAGUCUCUAGAAGCAUCCUGGACUCCAUAUAAGCCCAUGGAGAGGCUCAUUUGAAGCAUCCUAUGACACUAAGGUGCCUAAGUGAGACUAAGGUGAUGCCUAAUGGGCCAAGUGUGCCUAAAUGGGCCUAAGGUGCCUAAAUGAGUCUAAGAUGCCUAAAUGAGCCCAAGGUGAUGCCUAAUGGGCCAUGUGCUUAAAUGGACCUUAGGUGCCUAAAUGAGGAUAAGGUGCCUAAAUGAUCCUAAGUUUAAAUAGGGCUGCCAAGAGUCAUAAUGGGGUUAGAUAAAUCCCUCAACCAAAGUCCCCAAGAUGGCUUAGAAAAGAUAGGCUACACGAAUAGUAAUGGGCCACUAGAGAAUUGCUGUAAAGUAUCAGACAAUUACUUAAUAGGACAUGUGCUAGGAGGACAAAAUUGAGGGUCAACAUGUACUUAUGUUGAAUGAUUUCAAAUCUUUUUAAAAUCAUUUCCAUUUUGUAAGGAUGAAGGACAUUCCUCACACACAUUCCUUGAUCAUGCACUCAUCGUAUUCAAUUUUAUUACUUUAUACAUGUUCAUUGGAUGACCUAUCGCACUAAUGAUGAAUAGGGACCUAUAUUAGGUUUCAUUUCCCCAAUUUCCCUUAGGCAUCACAUUGGAACAUGUUUAGCCCACCCAUAUGCACGCGUUCAGUUGUAGCUAUGUCAAAUUUUUACCACUAUACAAGGCAUUUACACUAAGUGUACAAGACAAAUGUGUUUACUGUACAAGGGUGUACAAGGGUACCUAUAUUGAAGGAUUUCAAUUCCUUUUGAAAAACUAGAUUUCUCAUCUUCCUUUUCUAAGGAUGGGGAAUAUUCCUCAUAAACAUUCCUCAUUUCCCUUCAUACACAUUCAUUGGAUGAGCUACUGUACUAAUGAUGAAUAGGAACCUAAAUUGGGUUUCAUUUUCCCUUUUUUUCGCUCAGCCAUGGCAUUGGAAUAAGGUUAACCCACCCAUAUGCACUCGUUCAGUUGUAGCUAUGUCGAAUUUAUGCCACUAUACAAGGCAUUUACACAAAGUGUCUAAGGCAAAUGUACUAACUGUACAAGAGUGUCUAUCUUAAGGGAUUUCAAAUGAUUUUGAAGAACUUACUCAUUUACUUUUUCCAAUCUUGGGGGACAUUCUUCUCACACAUUGCUUGACCACAUGCUCAUCACAUGCAUUUUAUUUGAUGUCCACCAUGUUCAUUCAUUCUAUUAGCUCAUCUACUAAUCAUGAAUAUGAACUGAAAUUAAGGUCAACUUUUUCCUCAUUUUCCCUAAUCCAUGAGAAUGGAAACAUUGUUUACCCACCCAUAUGCACUCGUUCAAUUGUACCUAUGUGAAAUUUCUACCAUUGUACAAGGCAUUUACACUAAGUGUAUAAAGCAAAUGUGCUAAUUGUACAAGGGUGUACAAGGUUGCCUAUCUUGAAGGAUUUCAAAUGAUUUUGAAGAACUCACACACUGAUUUGCAAUGAAUAAAAUAACCUUUGGGCCAUAUAAGUUGCAUAAUAAAGAGAGAUGAUAUAAAAUAUCAAGAGACAAAUAUACCCUUCAAAUUUUCAUAUCAGAUGUUUGUAAAAUUUGGGUUUCAUGCAUAGUCAACUGAAGUUUCCAUGUCAAAUCCCUUUAAAAUGUGUACAUGGCUAUGACCUAGGUCUAUUGUCCAAUAAAAUAAAUCCAGAGAGAGGAUUUGGGUAUGGUUCAUGGAGAAAGAUGAUGAACUUUGGCGAAAAAGACUGUGUGAAGAUCAGGCAAUUCCUUCACAAUUCCUUUGGGUCAAAUGGAUCUCAAAAGCAAGAAUUCUCUUAAGAUCUAAAGUAGUUGUAGCACUGGUAGUAGGGUAUAUGCCCAGUGAACUCCUUUGAACAUGAAAAUAUGCUCCACCUAUUGAAGUGGUUUUCGAGUUAGUACAAUUUCUGGAAUUGGAACCCAGGUUUGUGGAGGAUUGAGGGUGUUUUUAUUAGGUUUAGGGAUGAAUAGUCACAUCCAUAUUUGUCAAACUUCUUUAUGUUUGAGACCCCAUUAAUUGUAUUAUUGAAACUCCUUCAUGUUUGAGUAGAAGAAUAAUAAUAGGGAAAAUUAUUUUUGAAUACCAAAUGUUGUGCAUGUAGAAAGUCGGUAGAAGGGUUUUUCUUUUGCAUCAUUCACUGAUCUAUUUGUAUGAUUAUUAUGUAAGAAUCAUAGACUAGUAGUUGUUUUUGAAUAAUAUGAUGACUAGUAGUUGUUUUUGAAUAAUAUGAUGACUAGUAGUUGUUUUUGAAUAAUAUGAUGACUAGUAGUUGGGAAACAAAUUUAGACUUUAGUUUUUCCCCAUUCUAAGGUUGAGAGUCCAUGUAGUAUAGUAGCUUUGUGAAUCAUGACAAUUGAUAGCCUUGCAUCAUCAUUCACUGUAGGUCUUGUCCAAUGUGCAUCACAUGUGCUAAUACACUCACCAUGAGAAACUCAUCCCGACGGUCAAGACAAGUCAUCCCUCCAAUUAGGAGGUGUUACACUACAGUCUCUACUGGAUUACCCAAAUCCAUGAACCAAUAAUGGACAACUUAUCUACUUACAAGGAACCCAUGAAUUGUAUCUUCUAUGCAACCCCUAAUGAACUCAAAUCAUGUACAAUGUAAGAGAUAGAUUGAAUGCUCAAAUCAAUGUCAAUACAACAUGAAUUGUUACAUCAUGUCUUGCUUUUAGGAGGUCAAUCCCAACAAGUACUAUCUUCAUGCACUAUUUCUCCUUAAGUAUCUUAGGACACUUAUCUUAAGAGAACAGAACUUUAUGUCUAAAGGGUAGAAAACCCUUUUUGGAAUCCUACAUAGCAUACUUGACUCAAGUGGGUUGAGAUAGUGCAAGCUUCCUAUUCUUACAAUCUCCUAAGACCUUAAUCCUAGGAAUAGACUAUGCUUCUCUAGAUCUUUCAUCUGAAACUGAGUAGACAACUAGAUCUUGAUUGAUGAUAAUAACCUUAUAUCAUUCCUAAUGAGUAAAAUAUUAUCAGCAUAUAGGAUCAUGAAGACCAUCAUGCUUCCCUACACGUUCUUGUACACACAACGUUCAUUUUCAUUUUGAUCAAAAUCAAAGGUUUUGACCAACUAAUCAAAAUGCUUGUACUAUGAGAGAGAUACUUGCUUUAAUCCACAAAUGGAUUUAUGCAACUUGCACACCAAACACUCUUGGCUUUUACUAUGAAACCAUAUAGUUGCAUCAUUUAAAUGGUCUCACUAAGAUAGUCAUUUAAGAAUGCUUUCUUGAGAUCUAUUUAUCUAUCUCACAAUUGAGAUGUGUUGUAUUAGAUAAGAGUAUUCUCAUGGAUUUGAGAAUGGCUGCCAGUAAAAAAGUCUCUUUAUAGUCGAAACCAAAUUUCUGGCUAUAAUUCUAACCUUCUAUGUUUCAACCUUUCCAUCUACUCCUCUCUUCCUCUAGUAAACCCGCUUGCACCAUAUAGCUUUUAUCCAUUUAAGUGCUUCUACAAGCUUCUAGACUAUGUUAGAAUGCAUGGAUUCUAACUGCAUCCAUAGCUCCUAGCCAAAAAGAUGCAUCAACAUUGCUUAUUACUUCAUCAUAAUCUAUGGGAUAGAUCUCAUGUUCUUAAGGAAUUAUCUCAAAAGACUCUUCCUAAUACAUUAAUAGAUCAAGUUAUACAAAACCCCUACUAUGACGAAACAUUAGUAUACUAAAAAUGUUAGAAGUGGUAGGUACUAGAUCCAUAGUAUUUUGUGCUAUUGUGGGAGUGUAAUCUAAUACUCUUCAAUCAAUAUUACUGCUAAACUUAUUACUUAUCAUAUAGUCUUCUUUCAGAAAUCUAGCAUUUGUACUUACAAAUACUUUUUGAUCAAUUUGAGUGGAAAAGUAAUAGUCUGUCUACCCAAUUCUUCCUUGGAGGAGAUUAGCAAUAACACCAUGGAAUUGACCAAGGAUUUGGUCCAUUCAAAUCUCUCUCUUCAACUCACUCAACCAUGAAAGGCUCUAGGUUAUCUUGGGAAACUUCUACCAGAAGAUUUUUUUAAUCAAUUAAGAAAUUUAUAGUGGUGUUUGGGAUUUGAAAACAGAUGCAUUAUAGAGAGUGAAAAUAGUGAGAACUGAUUUUAGUUAACUUGGAUCAACACACUUUAAUGUCCUGUUGUUUGCCUUCUUUGAGGAUCCUAUCUAUGAGAUUGUUGAACAGGGACAUGCUUCAGUCCCCCAUGGUUAGGAAGAUCUAAAUAUUUAUCAUGUUGGAAGAAUUCGGCGCUAAACCUUUUCAAAAGGAUGGCUCUAUCUUUUUUGGGGUUCUAGAAUCAAGGAGAAACAAAAUAUUAUUGAUUUAUUUCACUUUUUGGUAUAUAGAGAGUGGACAUACUUAUCAUUUUUAUCAAAAACAAUCUUUGAAUAGGCUGCCUAGAGAUUGUUGUGUUAAUCUGUCAAUUUAUGUAUUGUCGUCUUGCCUCUUAAGGUGUUGAUGUCAUUCAGCUACAAAGCUUUGACACCCCGCUUGGCCACAGAAUUUCCCCUAAUACCUGGGUCCUGUCGUGGAGUGUAUAUUUUAUUCAAGUUUUUUCUCUUUCAAAGAUGUUCAAUAAAUUAUUCUUAUUACCUAUUAAAAUAAUCUAAAUAAUAUUUCUCUUGUGAAAGCUCAAACAUUCUUAUUGUUCCUCCUCUUUCUCCUCUGUUCUAUGUCAGUAGAUUUGAUGUUAUGCAUUCGUGCCUCAGUUUAUCAUGCAUUUUAUUAGCAACUGAUUAUGUAUCUGAAUUUUUUCAGCAACUCCAAGGAUUUCAUUGAAUCAGAAAGAAGACCUCAUUAUCUGGCCACCACUUGUCAUCAUCCAUAACAUUUCUAUUUUGAACAGUGAAGGCUGAUGCCCUUAUACUUUCAUGGGGGUGAACCUCUUAGUAUCAAAUGCCCUGGUUGCUUCCUUCAAGUCUUCUCACCAUUACAAAUCUAUAGUGCCCUUGCUAUGAUUUGAUGACUAUUUCAUUCUUAUUCCCUAGUCUCAAUAUUUUCCUUUCCUUCUUUUAUAUAAACCCAGGGCUAUCCAUCUCAAUUCUUUCUCUGAAAAUUGAGAUCAUAUAGGCUAAGUUUUAGCAUAUUAGGUUGGGUUGGAUUAUUGGCAAAGUGAUAACCUCUUUAGAUUAAAAGGUUUGGGUUUGUUUAGAAACUAUUCAUGAAAAUUGUCUUUUGUUCUAUAAUAGAAAAUAGAUUUUUAACUGAAAACAGUUUUUUAAAAAUAUGUUUUGAAAACAGAUUGGUCUUUUUAAAUGUUUUGAGGUGUUUUUUGUGGAGUAUUUUGAGAAAUAAUUGAAUAUAUGAAGAAUGUUUUCGGAAGUUUUGUAUUGUAAAUAAGUGCAUUAUAUCUGAUAAAAAAAAUAUGAGUGCAUUAUAACUUCAUAGAAAAUAAGUCGAUAAAAUUAUUUUUCAUAUUUGAGUUCUUAAGUAGAAUUUUAUUUUUAAAAAUAAUUGAGAAAUGUUUUUAAGAAUUUUUAUUAAAAAUUGAUUUUUGAGAAUUGGUUUUGAAAACACUGCCAAAUGGGCUUUUUGUGUUUACAUCUAGCCUAGCUCAGCUUAACUGAGCUGGUGCCCUAAUGCUCACUCUGGAUUUGGCUUAAAUAAAUCGGUGACGUGCACGGUUAAUUGGUUUUGGAAGCUGGUGUUAUGUUAUUCUGAUGUACUGCCUUCUCUUUUUGGGGUCUUAAUGGCAGUUGAAGGUUUUGGCGGGGGAAAAUUCAAGAUGUGCCUCGAUAGGCCUGCAGACCAUAGUGUUAUGGUGGUGAAGUUCUAGGGUACGUUUUCUGGACUGGAAGAUGCAGGAAGGCUUCAUGGGUAUUAUGCUGAGAAAAAUCAUGGAAGAGCAGAUCUUGAGAAAAUAAAUUACGACAAUGGCAAAAGCAGCAACAGUAGGGAAGCAGGAAUGCAACAAGACAAACCAGAGGAGGUUGUUCUAUAUGGGUACAUGGGAAUUGCAGAGGACUUGGACAAACUUGAUUUUGACACCAAGAGAAGUGUUUGAUUCAAAGCAAGCAGGAGAUCCAGGAGCUUGCAGAUGCCCCUGCUAAACCUGAUUAGAAGUAACUGUUCAGAUCCGUAAAUUAAAGAUAGAAUAAUCUUCUCUCCAAACCUAUGUCAGUUAUGUAAACAGAGCGGUUAUGUAACACUUCCUCGUCAGCUCUUUAUGAAUUCCCAUAAAACUAAAUUCAAAGUUUGCUAGUGGUGGACAGCUGCUGUUUGGGGGCACUUGGGUUUCCCUCUUUCUAAUGCAAUUUUCAGAUUGUUUUAACAUCUUUCUCGGAAUCAAUCUUACUUCUCGGAAAUUGGAUUAUGAUUGAAUGCCUUUUUAAGUCAGAAUUUCAAUUACCGACCCUCAAUAGAUCAAUUUCAAACUCAAGUCCCUGGGGCAGAGCAGGGUGCUGGGCUUGCCCGAUCGGAGUGCACCGAGAGCCCUCUGAUCCUUGUCCGCACAAUUCAUCGAGAUUUACCCUAUCUUGCUUCGAUUCCUCACUCCCUCCCAAAUCAACUACUCCCUUUCUUGGCACAACUCCGUUGGUCAAAACCAUUAAUAUUCAACCUACCAUUCAUUGACCAACUCCUCCUUUCAUUGGCACAACUCCAGUGAUCAAACUAUUAGUAUUCAACCUACCAUUCAUUAAGGGUCUCGAGUAGAAUAUGGCCCAUCCGAAGGUCUCCUUUCACAAAAUCUUAUUUUAUGUUUUUUUCUAAAGGAAGGAAUGGGAUUUUAACUAGAAGAUGGGUCCCCUAUAUCAGUACUGACAUUACCCAUUUGACAAAAAGAAAAGGGAUAUCAUCUCUAGGUACCCAAGAAUUUUACAAAUUACAAAGAAACAAUCAUUUUCUGAGACUUUCCUUUACCUCCUUUGGAAGUUAAUGAACUUAAUGCCAUAGGCAAAGACAAACAAGAAGAGGAGGACCCAACCAAUAUGAGCCAAGGCAACCGCUCUCAGGAAAUCAUAUUCAAAGCCUAAAGCCUCCUUAAGAUACUGCUUCACUGACAUGUCAUCUGCUCCAGGUACUUGAACCGGAUCCUCCUUGUCACCCACCUGAGAUGUCACCAGUCCAUAGAUGGUCCAAGCAACAGGGGAAGCCCAGUAGUACCACCUCCACCAUAUUGGUAUUUGCUGUAGAUGUACAGUUUGUUAGAAUUCAGUAUUUCUUCUACAAAUACAAACUCAAAUUCUUCGUAGGUAUACGCACCGUCCUAGGGAUGAGAAAACCAGAGAAGAGAUUCCAAAAGCUUAGGAAGAAGGACAUAAGAAUGGCAGCAAUUUGAUGGUUGGGAGUGAGCGCUACAAUCAUCAUUCCAUACAAUGUGAAGUAAAUAAAGCACAUGAGUAGGUAGUAGUAGAACCAUAAGAACUUGUCCACUCGCCAGUAGAAUCCUAUCAUAGAGUAGAGGAGAAGAGUGUAAACAAAAGUUUGGAUUGUGAUGUAAAUUGCCUCUAUGGCCACCUGCAGGGCAUCCAAAUACAAGAUUAGUUUAAAAUUAAGCUCUACUAGAAAUGUGUGUCUGUUUCUCAUCUGUUUUCUCAAAAGGCAACCUGGGCAAAUGCAUAAGGCAAAGCUGAAUACAUCCCAGCUGCCCUUUCGCGGUAGAAGACUGUUCUCUCAAUUGCCACAAUAGGCUGCACUGAAGCAGCGUUGGUGGCUCCAAGGAAGAAGACAGCUGCAAACAUAGCUCCCAGCAGAUUUAUUAGGUCUUGUUCUUUGUCUCUGCAUACAGUAGUUGGGGUGUUGGUUCACAUUUUUCCUUAAUUAUUAAUGGAGGAACACCAAAAUAAUAAAUUUGCAAUACUUACGUCUGCUCUCCUUCGUUCCAGAAAAUUAAUCCAAAUAGAACACCAAUAAUUAUGGUCAAGAAGAACCGGAGAGCAUUAUAGGGAGGAUUCCUCCAAUAAGACCAGUGCUGUUUCCAGAAGCAAGCCUUGCAUUGAGUAAUAAAGCUUUGAGAGUAUUUGGUGGGGAAAUAAAGGUCUUUGGAUCCUGGUGAUGGUGUGCUCAGCUCUUUGAUGAAUUCCUGAUUCCUCCUGCAACAAAAGGGGGAGUGUAAUAAGUCAUUGGAAAAAGAAUUGAGACAGAAAGAUGAUGUUCCAGGGAAUCAUAAUCCACUUACUGAUAGAGUUCAGAUUUAGCAUAAAUUUCUGCAAAAUCCACACCAAGUUGAGCCUCAACUGCAGCAGAGCUGAUCUCCAGCAUCCAUGUAGCAGGAUUUUGACCAUCUCUGACUUUAGGAACGCCCGGGACAGCCUGCAGCAAGUUAUGGAUUUGAUCAUGACACACUCCUAUAAGUAUAACAAUGGAGAUGGAGCAAGUUCACAGAAGAUGAAUAAUGCUCACUUCAAAGUACUCUACAAGCUUGUGAGAAUUGCGACCAAGAGGUCCAGCAUAAAUGAUUUGUCCUCCUCUCUUCAUCAGCAGUAGCUGCAGGCAAAAAUGAUGUUGGGUUGAAGAAAGGAAUGGUGACUCCAUGAUAAUCAUACCACUAACAAGUAUUAGAUACAAAACCAUGAAACUAAGAAAUACCUCAUCAAAAGCUUCAAAGAUGUCUAUGCUUGGCUGGUGAAUGGUGCAGACAACAGUCCGCCCUGUAUCCACCGUGUUUCUAACUGUACGCAUAACAACUGCAGCUGCUCUAGCAUCAAGGCCUGUCGUUGGUUCAUCCAUGAAGAUGAUGGAGGGGUUAGCAACCAAUUCUACAGCUACUGUCAGCCUCUUCCUCUGUUCUGUUGAAAGCCCAUCUAUUCCCGGAAGGCCAACCAAAGCAUUCCUCAGGGGGUGAAGCUCAACCAAAUCCAUUACUUCCUCAACAAACACCUAUAACACAGAAGGAACAAAAAAAAACACAACUGAUGUAUAUAGCUUGUAAGAGGGUGAACUAAAAGAAAAAUCAUUCAUUUGACAAAAGGACAUGCCUGCCUUGUUUCCUUUUUGACAUCCGGAGCAAGGCGCAGCCAGGCAGAGUAAACAAGAGAUUCAUAAACAGUUACAUUUGGAGAAUGUAUAUCAGUCUGCUCACAGUAACCACUAAUACGAGCAAAAGUUGCUUGGUUUUUGGGGUAACCAGAAAUGCUGAUACUUCCUUCAAUGUACCCACUAGUUUUCCUUCCUGCUAACACAUCCAUCAAAGUGGUCUUUCCAGCACCACUAACACCAACUAAUGCCAUUAGAAUACCUGGCCUGAAAGCACCGCUAGCAUCCCGCAGCAGUUGGAGAUGAUCCGCUUCAUUUCCUUGGCUCUUCAUUCCCUGUGAUUGAAUCCAUAAAAAAGUUUCAAAGCUCUAGACCAAGAUCAUAUCCUAACCUAUAUAUUAGUCUCACUUGUGUGUCUAAGUACUCAAAACAAGUUACUUACAGCAGGCAUAUCAACAUAGUAAUUCACAUGCUCAAAUGCAAGCGAUAAGGGCUGGAAGGGCAACACCAUUCCCCUUUUAGUAAGUGCAUGAUUUGCAUCUUUGACAACUGCUUUGGUGUUUUCUCUAGUGUUCCUUACUUCCAUAUCAAUACCUGUUACCAUAGACCUAACAUCAGCUACCAGAUAAAGAAAAUCUGAUGUUUAUGUUAUUUGCAAUGUCUAGUAUCACUAGCCUCUUCAAGAAGUGAUCAAGAAGAAUUUUGUGAGGGUCAGGUAAAAAUCUGGUGUCUCCUAGAGAAGGAGAACCAAUAGCAAGAAGCAAGUAUUAUGCAAUAUAAUUUCCCAAGAGCAAGUUCAGAAAUUGUAGCAACAUAAUAGUUGAUGAAACAUUGUUAAUAGCAACAUCUUCUCCUCUCUGCAAAGGGAAAUUUGAUUUUAGGCUAUCAUGCUACUGGUUUUCGGCAUUGAUAAACCCCUCAGUUUAUUGAAAAUGAACACCAUAAGGUGGCAAUCAGAGGGGAGUUGAUUCAAAGGAAAAACUAGAUAUUGAAUGAUUGUUGAAUGGAAACUGUAUAUGGACCUAAUGCUUGGUUAAUAAAAUAUAUAGAAACGCUAGAAGACAAACAAACAACCAAAAACCAGAGGAGAUCAAAGUAAGUAAAAUCUUGAACCUUCAGACAUUGGGGCAGUAGAUGCUGAAUUUCUUUCUGGGGUGGUCAGAUCAUGCUGUUUGUUAGAGUAAAACUGCUUCUCACUCUUUUCUUCAUUUUCCUCAUCAAUAAUGACAGAUUUUGAGUCUCCCAGAGCUGCAUUUGAGUUUCAGAAAAUUGUCAAAACUAGAAUCUUAUUUAAAUAAUACCUAGUUCUGACUGAUGGAUGAUAAUUCCAUGACCAAAACCUUUGGAGGAAGGAAAAAGGAAAAUGAAGGUUAGUAUAAGCAAUAACUUACGGUCCAAAUAUGUCAGAGCUGCAAUGAAACAGAUAUUGAAGAGCAGAGAAAACCCCAGGAGUGCACCAACAGAAAUCCAAUACCAAUAGCCAUCCACAAACAUGCCUCUUGCCUUGAGAAGAGCUUUUCCAACUGUGGGUUCUGGAAUUCUUGUAUAGAUGUUGGGCUGUGCCAAAAACCGAGUAGUGUAUACAAAGACAGACCAAGUAAUGAAGGCAGAAAUGCCCAAGCUAAAACAAAGUGAGAACAACCAUUCAAAACCUCCUAAGAAACCUUACCGUGCUCCAUCUGUCAUCAAGAAAUUCAUUGAUGACAAGGGCAUUUUGUCCAUACAUCAUUGGAGAAGCAUAAUAUCCCCAUAUCAUCCAUGGUUUAAUAUCAUCUAAGGAAGAAGGAGAAAGAAAUGGUUUAUUACAUUAUCAAUCAUAAAAUACAAUCACAUAAAGAGUGCCCCUCUCCCUUUCCAUUUGAAAUAAGCCAUCAGUGUUACAAAAACGAUCAGCUCACUGCAUAGCAAAAAGACACAAAAUACUGACCUUUCGAUACAACGAAUCCACCCAGAACAGAAACCAAUAGCAAUGUAAAGGUGGCAAGAGUGUUGGCCACAAUCAGUGUUCUUCCAAGUGCUGCAAUGAAGCGGAAAAGAGAUAGGGCCAUCUGAUGCACGACAAAGAAUGCCAGCAAUUGACGGAAAAACCUGAGCAUUAUUCCAAGUCUUGGGUUGUCAUAGUUCCAUUUGUGAAAGCUAAAACACAAGUAAGGAAGAAUGAAGGUCCAUUCACAUACCUACUAGCAGCAGGGGCAUACCCAAUAGUGUAAUACGUGAGAAUGAUCCAUAUCCCUGACUCCAUCAGUGACAAGGGGAUCCUAAGGACCCAAAUUGGUAGUGCAAAAGCCCAUGCCGGGUAAAACAAGAAAUCCCUCUGCUUAAAAAACACUGGGAGCCUGAAAAUAGUCAAUGCAAGUUCUGCCAGUCCGUUAAACAUUACAUUUAUGAGACUAUAAAACAGAGCCCCAUAGAAUUUUACUCCAUCUUGCAGUUGGCCAUGCUUCAUUUCUGUUCUGAAGAACACUGUCAUGGCAAUUACUGACAUGAUUGUAAUCUGGGUUGUCUUGAAUAUGUAUAUAAAAGAGUUGCGCUUCAUUAAUAGCCACUCCCUGGCAAAGCAUGCCUUGAAGAGUUCCCAGUUGGAGAUUCCAUACUUUUCUGUCACCAAUGCUGCAGGAUGGGUUCUGCUCCUAUCGUAAGGGAUUCCAAAGUCGUCUGAAAGCUUCUGGCCAAUGUGGAAAGAGUUGAAAUGUUGCACAAACUCGGGCACCGAGAUAUAUCUGUAAGGUUCAUUCUUUCUGAACCAGUAUUGUUCUUGGUCCUUUCUGGAAGUCACCUCUUGCAAGAAGUCUGCAACUCCUUUUCUUUCCGGGCAUUUGAAGCCUAUGCUUUCAAAGAAUUCAAGGAUGUUUUCACGGGGACCUUGGUACACAAUUUGGCCCUCACAUAGUAAGAUAAUGCCAUCAAAAAGAUCAUAAGUUUCAGGUGCAGGUUGGAGAAGAGAGAUUAUCAUGGUUACUUCCAUGAUAUGAACCAUCUGCCUCAUAAACUUGACAACCUGAAAAGUGGUGGAACUGUCCAGACCAGUUGAUAUUUCAUCCAUGAAAAGAGCCUUUGCUGGUCCA
This 21962-nucleotide long non-coding RNA is filed under the name Vitis vinifera (wine grape). RNAcentral describes it as "long non-coding RNA (VVIN_LNC004131)". Lineage: Eukaryota; Viridiplantae; Streptophyta; Magnoliopsida; Vitales; Vitaceae. The record is from RNAcentral.